AGAGUUAAUCCUGGCUAGAACGAACGCUGGCGGCAGGCUUAACACAUGCAAGUUGAGCGGGAUUAGAUUGGUAGCUUGCUACUGAUUUAUGAGAGCAGCGCACUGGUGAGUAACACGUGGGAACAUACCUUUUUGGUGGGGGACAACAGAGGGAAACUUCUGCUAAUACCGCAUAAGCCCUGAGGGGGAAAGAUUUAUUGCCGAAAGAUUGGCCCGCGGAAGAUUAGGUAGUUGGUGGGGUAACGGCCUACCAAGCCGACGAUCUAUAGCUGGUCUGAGAGGACGAUCAGCCACAUUGGGACUGAGACACGGCCCAGACUCCUACGGGAGGCAGCAGUGAGGAAUAUUGGGCAAUGGAGGCAACUCUGACCCAAGCCAUGCCGCGUGAGUGAAGAAGGUUUUCGGAUUGUAAAGCUCUUUCGGACGUGAAGAUGAUGACGGUAGCGUCUAAAGAAGCCCCGGCUAACUUCGUGCCAGCCGCAGC
Molecule: ribosomal RNA, 484 nt
Filed under: uncultured bacterium
Lineage: Bacteria
Description: bacterial SSU rRNA
Rfam family: Bacterial small subunit ribosomal RNA
Source: RNAcentral